GGAUAUACAUAAAGAAUAUAUUGAUUUUUAUCUUGACAGCCAGCUGACUUGAUCUGGCUGCCCUUACUCUGUAGACACAUUGGACAGGAUGUUGCUGUAAAUAAGGAAGUUUGAUGGGUAGUAAAAUAUCCGUGUCUGAGUUUAAAUAUACUUAAUUGCAAUGGGGUGAAAAAAUUAGGGAGCAGGGGAAUGAAUAUUCAAGGAUAGCAGCAGUUGUCCUAUGUUAGCUGAAUGAGAUCCAGAGUUUUCUGCAGCUCUAACUGCCCCUGUUCUUAUCACAGAAGUAACAUCUGUGCAUCUAUUUAGGUUAUUUAUGAUGCUUGUCUGGUUGAUAAUUAGGUUUGUGUCUGCUGUAGCCGUUUAGAUGGUAUUUUCCCAGGAUCUCCCCUAGCAGGUGGCUGGUUUUCAGCUUUUGGAAUAGAGUGUGGUAGAAGGGUCCUUCAGAAGGGUCCCUUCCUGCCCUUCAGGAGAUGUCAGUGGUUUGAUGCUGCAGUCAGCUCAGUCCACUGAGCUGUGUUUUCCUGUCAUCUAAGUGGACUGCAUUUUCUUUUGGAAGCAGUUCAUUCACAAUUGCCUUGGGUGGAGGCUUUUCCGUUGUGAGCUGCAUGAUACUGCUGUUUUCAUAGUAGUGGCAGAGCAAAGACUUGGAAGUUUCAUAUAUAAGCUAUUGUUAAGCUCUGGGGAGCUCUUCAGAACUGUUAAUUGCUGUAAUUGCAGUUUCUGCCAGCGUCUCUUUGGUAUUUUUGGUCCAACCUCAGGCUGAAGGGAAAGUGCUUCAUUCCCUAACCCAGGAGACGUGACAAAACUGAUAUUGGAAGCUAUGGGACGUAACAGCUCUCCGUCACUUGUGGCUUGAUGCAGUUCACACAAACUCAUCUGGUCUUUGGCUGCAAGGUGAAGCUUCUUUGUGGUCCCAGCAGUGAUUGCACCGCCGCCACCACCAACACACACACCCCCCGCCCCGGUAUUCGCAGCAAUGUGUGCCCACCAGGUAAGAAACCCAAGUAAUCAUCGGAUUAUAGGAAAAUCUUCGGGGUAUUUCAUUUUUGUGGGAAACAUUGAGAAGCACACUUGCCCUGUCAUUUCAUCCUCCACAACGGCCUGUGCUAAGCUGCUGUCUGUCUGAAGGAGCGGGGCUGGACAGGACUCUAGCGAGACGGUUUCUGUUGCUCCUCGCUCAGCUGGAGGCAUUGGCGUUGAGCAACCCUGGGCACACCUUUCCCCCCAACCCAAACACGCUGCCUGCGCACGUGUUGGCCGGCACCUGGCAGCAAAGCCCUGCCACCGGCCCCACGGCCCCGUGAGGCAGGUCCCAGCAGAAGCAGGAGCAGCAGCGCUGAGCCCCUGCCUGGCUUACAGAGCUGGGGAUGUAAAUCCCGCAGCUGCUCCAGCGCUAAGGCAAUCAAACCCUUAACGCUGGGGCUGGAUCCAAUGCCAAGCGCCUGCUGGAGUGGUGCUAGGCACGGUGUUAGCUGGAAGCGGGAGCUCCCUUUGCAGUGAAACGUGGGUACUCAUGUGUGUCUGUGUGUGCACUUGCAUGCCCAAGACAUCAAACUGGUUCAUUUAUAUUUGGAUUACCACCUAUUUUCAUGCAUUUAAACAUUGCCAGCUGUGUUAAUGAUGGCUGCAGCACAUCAGCCGCUUCUGUUCUCUCCCAGACUUGUUAUUUUUCCCACUGGUUAUUCUGUCUAUUUCGGGAGAGUGCUACAGUGCAGCUUCUUUCACACAAACAGUCUCAGGUAGGAAAUUGUAGUGCAGAGUAUAUAUUUUUUUAACAUGACUUACUUUGGACUGGCAGGAUCCCGGGUUCGUUAGAGCAGAGAGACACCUCAUAGCUGGGAUCAGCUAGCUACACAGGCUGAGGCAGACUGGAAAAAAGAGUUCAUUAUCAUCUUUGGGAGAUUUAAAAAACAUAUGCCUCCCCUCCAAUACUCCAGACUAUUGAGCUUUAUCAGUUUCACUGCAAACUACAAAUGCUUUUUGUGUAAUGACAGCUCUUUAAUUAGAACUUGGAAGCAAUAGCAUCUGCUGAUUAUAGCAUGGUCCAGCAUGUUCAUAUUCCUCAGUUUUAUUUCCAGCUCUGCAACUAAAUUGCUGCAUGCCUGAAGGCAAGUGACUUCACCUCUGUGUCUUUACUUCCACAGACGGGAUUAAAACCUCCACUGGAGAUCCCUGGACAGAACCUGAUCAAAUGGCACAGCCUUGGUUUGCUUUUCCAUCCUGUGCAUGUUUGGGAACCCAUGUAUCAGUCCAGUGGAUGAGGGUUUGGGAUUUGCCUUGUCCAGGCAUACCCUGUGAGAUGCUCCAGG
This is a long non-coding RNA of Aquila chrysaetos chrysaetos, 2309 nucleotides long. RefSeq lists it as uncharacterized. The transcript is spliced from 3 exons. Lineage: Eukaryota; Metazoa; Chordata; Aves; Accipitriformes; Accipitridae. The record is from RefSeq and is a predicted model, not a curated record.